CACCGCCAUACCCAUCGGCUCUAUCUUCCCUGAGACAGGAAUAACCAGGAAUUUUAAAACAAAAUUCCGGUUUUAACCACGUCUCACAUAGAGCUAUAACACUAGGAUUAAAUUUAUUAAUAAGAUAAAUUAAAUCAGAUUUGUUCUUCACUACGCUUCUGCAGUUCCAUUGUAGAACUCUGCCUAAGUGAGCCAUUGUUAAAUAUGUCAGUUAUUAUUUUCAAUAAAGGGGCAACGUUGGACGGUAAAAUUGUUUGUGACAGUGAUGAAACUAAAGCUAUUAUAAUAUCGGCUACUGAUUGUGGUUCUGGCAGGGUACCAGUUUUAGGAAGUGCACACCCAUCAGCAUAAGUGGGAGAGUUGAAAUCACCUACAAGAGCUUGGUGGGCUGCACGAUCAUAACCUUGUAUCGAUUUAGGCGGAGAACGGGGCUUCAGAAAAACAGUUUUUUUUAUAAGAGUUACUGUGCAAUGGUUGAGUGGAUGGAGUUUUGACAUCUUGGCUGUUGGCUACAAAAGAAGAUGGGGGUGUAAACUUUAAUGUGUCAGCAUAUGAUUUUGUCACCGGAGGAUGUAUCUUUGAUGCUUCUGAGUAUGAAACGCAAUUUUGGGCCAUAUACUUUUUUAUAUUUGUCUGCCUACUGGCUUCUGGGCAAACCUUGCUAAUUGCAAUAUGGGGGCCGCCACAAAAGACAACAAUAACUAUUAUCUUGGUCGCAAUCACAAGAUGUACCAGUAUGCCCUUGUCCACAUUUAUAGCACCUUGGUUUAGAUCUGCAUGUAUCUUUAGUAUGUCCAUACCGGCAACAAUUGUAGCAUUGAAUUGAAGGAUAAAUGUAUAGUUCUACUUUGAGGGAAUUAAAACACAUAAAUACUCUUGUGGGAAGGACCUGACCAUCAAAAACAUGUCCACCGGUACACCUCUUACGAGUCCCAUCCUGGUAACGUUAAAAGAUGGAAUAAAAGCUUCAUAGCCUUUUUCCAAUAAGGCAUGAUGUUUUAAGAAAGAAUUUGCUGCUAAGUGACUUGUGAAUGCCAUUGAAAUUUUGUUGCGACCAAUACGCUUCAAACUGCCUUGUACUAUGUUUGACACCUGGUUUUUAUACAAAAAUCUGCCAAAGCAUAUUGGAUGCAAAUUAAGAUCUUGUGUUAUCUCUCCUGUACUAGACCUAGCAACAUGAAUAAUAAACGGUGAAGCAUCCAAUGCA
RNAcentral lists this long non-coding RNA (1207 nucleotides) under Manduca sexta (tobacco hornworm). RNAcentral describes it as "uncharacterized LOC119190873". Lineage: Eukaryota; Metazoa; Arthropoda; Insecta; Lepidoptera; Sphingidae. The record is from RNAcentral.